Molecule: long non-coding RNA, 3761 nt
Organism: Cynoglossus semilaevis (tongue sole)
Lineage: Eukaryota; Metazoa; Chordata; Actinopteri; Pleuronectiformes; Cynoglossidae
Exons: 7
Source: RefSeq, a predicted model, not a curated record
GUUUACUUAACCCAUCACUAGGUGGCACUGCUGUUAACCGACUGUGGAUGUUGUGGUUUCUGUUCCUUCACUUGUGGCUCAGAUCCACACCUGCCUUCAUUUGUCUGUGUGACUUCCUGUGCACACCAGUGCCCCCUAGAGGAGGAGUCUCUCACCAUGUGACCAAUGCAGGAUAGUUAUGAAAGGCCAACACCGUGAGCUGUACUUUGAAGCGUUUAUGGAUGUCAUUCCUGGCCGCUCUCAGACCCCCCCAGCCCCCACCCCCGCUCUGCCGUAGCUCUUAGUGUCAUGUGACACUUCUACGUGUGACUGAAUGCACAAAUGUGUCCGAGACCCCGCUGAGUAAGUUUACGCUGGUCGUCAAUCAUCGUCCCGGCCAGUUGGCUGCGGCCGGCGGGCAGGUGGUCCCGUCAGAGCCGCGGCCUCAGUCACGCGGCGCUGAAACCCGAGACCUCGGGGACGAGCGGCGUCUGUCAGGGCCCACGUCAACCGGUGCUUACUGGGGGCUAUUUUGACUGAUACCUUAGAGAAGAGUCGGGGUUGAAGUUGAAGAGCCGUCAUUGAAUCCCAACCGAGUGACACAUGAAAUUGAAACAGGAAGACAUAAAUAUUUGACUUUGGGCUCGGGUUUCCCAACAUGGACAGAUCAGUCCAACAGUCUGAGGGACCGGACGUCUGAGGCCCAAACUGUGGGUCGUGGAACGUGUUCUCCCUGUGUGGCUUGUUCUUCAGUUUCCUCUCAGUCCAGAACAUUCUCUAUGUUCACUCUGAAUUGGCCACAGGUGUGAACGUGGGUGUGAAUAGGUGUCAGGACCGACUCCAGAGAACCUUCUUCAGUCGGUUCAUCUCCAACAGAGGUCAUCUCCAACAGAGGUCAUCUCCAACAGAGGUCAUCUCCAACAGAGGUCAUCUCCAACAGAGGUCAUCUCCAACAGAGGUCAUCUCCAACAGAGGUCAUCUCCAACAGAGGUCAUCUCCAACAGAGGUCAUCUCCAACAGAGGUCAUCUCCAACAGAGGUCAUCUCCAACAGAGGUCAUCUCCAACAGAGGUCAUCUCCAACAGAGGUCAUCUCCAACAGAGUUCAUCUCCAACAGAGUUCAUCUCAUCUCCAGGCGUCGUCUUCUACAGUUUCUACCUGAGAACAGCCGACGGUCCAGUCUGGUCCGACUGUAGUCCACGGUCACAGGUCGUGGAUCCUCAGGUCCAGGUUCACCUCCAGAGUCUGACUGAAGAUUGUGAUCCAGUCUAAUGAGAGUUGAGUUCCAGCUCCAGUUCCAGUUCCAGCUCCAGCUCCAGUUCCAGCUCCAGUUCCAGUUCCAGCUCCAGUUCCAGUUCCAGUUCCAGCUGCAGUCCCAGUUCCAGUGGAGAGGAAGCAGCGCUAACGUUGACCUCCUAAAACCAAACCAUCCCAGACUCCCAGCUAGCAGGAGAGCUAAAGGCUAACGGAAGACAUGUCUCCACUCAGAGUCAGCCUUCAGGUCCAGGACGUCAGGACCACCACAGUCAAGUGUCAGUGGAGCUGCAGCGCCAUCCAUCAGCUGUUUGUCAGACGCUGUCAAUCCAGGCGGAGUGAUUUAUGUCAGCUGUAGUGAGGCUGAUUACAUGCCAGUGUGAGUGCGAGGAAAGAACAAAUGAUGGAGAGAGACGAGGAGAAGAGGAGAGGAGAGAGAGAGGAAACAGGAGACAUUGCCCAAUCUUGACAGAGGCGUUCCUAUACCUUCCGGGGCCCCGGGCAGAGGAGCCUAAUGGCCCCCUGUGACCAACAGUCAUGAAACACCAAGUGGAAAACUCAAUCAAUUUAAAUUUUUUAAUUGUCUUGACCACCCUGGUGUUUCUCUGUCUGUGGUUGGUGUGAACAGUCGGUCGUGUCUCCAAGGUGUGACUGACGUACACUAACAUUUAAAUAACUUGUUUAUCCUUCUAAUCUAAUGAAGAGGUUUUCAACAGGGGGCUCCCAGUCCUUGUGUGGUCCAUGUCGGUCCUGCAGGGGGCAGGGGAGGUAGUAUAUUAAAAUAUAUAUAUAUGUGUUUCAGUUAAAAACAUCAAUCUGUGUUAACUUACGAAUAGCAUUAAACUUUUUUAUACAAAAUUUAAAUAAAUCUCUCUCUCUGUCUCUCUCUCUCUCUCUCCAUCAGUUUGUUCGCCCUGAGCCUAAAAAUUGGUAAGAACUUCUGUGUUAAACUCUAUUAUAAAAAAGUCCAUCUUUUUCAGUUUUGCUAAUAUUUGCGUCCUUGACUGUUCUAUCAUGUACAAAGUUACACAGUUAUGUGCUUCAAAUGUAAUUUUAAACAAAGGUUGUUGUGAAUCAAAUAAAACAAAGCAGAUGUUUCACCCACAUGUUUCUGCUUUUUAAAAUAAAGCCAGAAAAUAAUUUUUAUAAAAUAAAUCUAAUCGGACAUGAAAGUGAAAACACACGGUAAAAAAAAGCUUGAAAUCAGUUUAUACGGGCCGGUGCUGUUCAACAUGUGUUUCAGUACAAAGGCCCGUCAGCUUAUCAUUCACACAUUACUCAAAUGUUUUUGUAAUUGUGUGUGGUGUAAAUAAAUAAACAACUUCAUAAAUUAAGUUGUUUUGUGUUGUUGCAUUUUUAAAAUUAAAUGCAUUGUUAAGGAUGUGGAGGAAAAGUGAGCACAGCUGUGAUUCCCUCGCAUGUUUACUGUGUGUGUGUGUGUGUGUGUGUGUGUGUGUGAUUGAUCACAGUCUGGGUGUUUUUCUGCAGCAGGGGGAGGAAGGGGGCGCUGUCAUUCUCUGACACAGUCUGUGAAUUAUUAGGGUAAAGAAGGGCGACCAUAAAUUUAGCCUGUCAGACCCCCAAAAAGAAAAAACAAAAAAAAGAAGGAAAAAAAUCCCUUUACUGUCAGUGUGUGUGUGUGUGUGUGUGAAAUAGUAGUGAUGCUGCUGAUCCACACAUACAAACACAGACUGAUACCUGUAUUACAACCUUAUUUUGAGUAAAAAAAAGUGCAGCAUAAUUUUUUCAAAGCAUUUUGUUUAGUUCAGUGUCAAGUCAUUUCAUGUUUAACCUUUUUUACGGUUAUUUUAGACUGUGUUUUGGUUUCAUUUAGGCUCAUUUUUAUUUGUCUUUCACCUAGUUCAAAGUUAACUCUAGGUUACCAGUUAUCUAUCAGGUUAACAUACCAUUAGCCCUGCCAAGGAUAACUCUUUUUUAAGCUAAUAUUUAGCAACUGUAUCCAUUAAACGGCCACCGUUGACCAAGUCUGUAGAAGGCCUGACGUGGUGCCUCUCUGAAGUGUAGCUCCGCCCCUCGGAUGUGUUUACCAUGACGUCGGUAAAACUAAACUUCACAGUCUUAGCUAACCUCGUUAUUCUACGACUAGUUUCCACUUUUUAAAAGCUAAUAUUUAGCUACUUUUAGUCAAUUAAGGCUUUAUUUAAAUAUUUUGUCCAAAAAAACUAGAUUCAUUAAAUUUCUCCUGGUUAAAAAACAAUGAACUUUGGCAAAACCAAAGUGGCUAUCCAGCUAGCUUUCUCUGCGUUGCUAAAAUUAGCCUUUCUAAUAAAGGGGUGUUUGGUGACGACCGUAACGACCAGGUGUAGAAUCUCCGCUGUUCGUCGUUCACCUCCUCCAUGAUCUAACAUGGCGACGGAUAAACGCCGAUAACGACGUUAGGUUUUAACGACUAACAAAACUCGACGUGAGCAGAGACGCCUGGUGCUGAGGUGAAGAUAAAAAAUACCCAAUAACUUCAUUAACGGUGCCUGAUAUUGUGUCCCCGGGACCCUCCCCCCACAACCCCCC